Heterocephalus glaber (naked mole-rat) is the source of this 711-nucleotide non-coding RNA. The record is from RefSeq and is a predicted model, not a curated record. Lineage: Eukaryota; Metazoa; Chordata; Mammalia; Rodentia; Bathyergidae.
CUCCAGCAGCCAGCUCAGUUCCUUAUACAGCCUGGGAUGGUUUUCCAAGGGAAGGAGAUUCUGUUCCCCCAGGAAACUAUGAGGUGACUGUUAUUAGGCAUUUAACAAAUGGAGAAACCAAGGCUCAAUUUAAUAACCAGGAGACUCCAGCCCCUUGCCUAUCUUGUCAUCACAACUGCUUUUUAAACUCUAUGCCAACCACAGAAGUCAAUGCUGAAAAUUCUUCUGAGAGAAUACACCCAAGGAAGCAAAAUCACAUGCAUAUCUUGCCCCUGCUUUUCAGUCCUGAGGCAGACAGAAAACAAGGGGACACACCUCUUGCGCUUUGGUACAUGUUCUGUGAGGCUUGCAAUCUGUACUUUCACAGAAGCUUCAAAGAUUUUUACAGAUGUUGUAAAAGCCAAGAGGAGCACUGAAGAAAUGGUCAUAAAAAACAAUUUCUCAACCAAGACAAAGAGUGACCCAGGACUAAAACCAGAAGAAGGAAGCAGAUGCCCUGGGGUGGAUCAGGACCUGAAGCUGCAUAGUCAACUGCCCUCAUUACAGUCAUUGCUUUUGCCCUAAUACAUCUCUGUAGGGGGAGGACCAACACAAUAAAUUCCAAGAUGGCAGGAACAUCUCUGACCAGUUUUAAUCACUGAUGUGAACUGGUCCUUAAACACAGCAGCUCCAUUUCAGCCCAGAAAGAAUGGCUGCUAUCAAGAAUUCAAC